UACGAAGGGGGCUAGCGUUGCUCGGAAUUACUGGGCGUAAAGCGCACGUAGGCGGUUUGUUAAGUCGGGGGUGAAAUCCUGGAGCUCAACUCCAGAACUGCCUUCGAUACUGGCGAUCUCGAGUUCGGGAGAGGUGAGUGGAACUGCGAGUGUAGAGGUGAAAUUCGUAGAUAUUCGCAAGAACACCAGUGGCGAAGGCGGCUCACUGGCCAGAUACUGACGCUGAGGUGCGAAAGCGUGGGGAGCAAACAGG
Molecule: ribosomal RNA, 253 nt
Filed under: uncultured bacterium
Lineage: Bacteria
Description: partial 16S ribosomal RNA
Rfam family: Bacterial small subunit ribosomal RNA
Source: RNAcentral